RNAcentral lists this ribosomal RNA (616 nucleotides) under Heterosigma akashiwo. RNAcentral describes it as "partial Bacterial large subunit ribosomal RNA". It matches the Rfam family "Bacterial large subunit ribosomal RNA", at positions 408 to 1026 of the family's 2925-position model. Lineage: Eukaryota; Raphidophyceae; Chattonellales; Chattonellaceae. The record is from RNAcentral.
UUAAGUAGGGCGGGACACGUGAAAUCCUGUCUGAAGAUCGGAGGACCACCUUCGAAGGCUAAGUACUCCUUACUGACCGAUAGCGAACCAGUACCGUGAGGGAAAGGUGAAAAGCACCCCGACGAGGGGAGUGAAACAGUACCUGAAACCGAACGCCUACAAUCAGUCGGAGCCCCCUUGCGGGGUGACGGCGUACCUUUUGUAUAAUGGGUCAGCGACUUAUAUUUAGUAGCAAGGUUAACCGUAUAGGGGAGCCGUAGCGAAAGCGAGUGUUAACUGCGCGUUUAGUUGCUAGGUAUAGACCCGAAACCCGGUGAUCUAGCCAUGGGCAGGUUGAAGGUUGAGUAACAUCAACUGGAGGACCGAACCGACUAACUUUGAAAAGUUAGCGGAUGACUUGUGGCUGGGGGUGAAAGGCCAAUCAAACCGGGAGAUAGCUGGUUCUCCCCGAAAUCUAUUUAGGUAGAGCCUCGGACGAACACCAUUGGGGGUAGAGCACUGUUAAGGCUAGGGGGUCAUCCCGACUUACCAACCCUUUGCAAACUCCGAAUACCGAUGAGUGCUAUCCGGGAGACACACGGCGGGUGCUAACGUCCGUCGUGAAGAGGGAAACAAC